Molecule: long non-coding RNA, 735 nt
Organism: Mustela lutreola (European mink)
Lineage: Eukaryota; Metazoa; Chordata; Mammalia; Carnivora; Mustelidae
Exons: 4
Source: RefSeq, a predicted model, not a curated record
GCGGGGCAGGAGCGCGGCCGGCGGGCUCGCUGUGCACCUGCGGAAGACGCGGGGCUCCCGCCAGGGGCGCGGUGAAAAAGGCGGAAACGGACGUUGGUCUGACUGCCGGGCACAGCCUCCUGCCUCCUCUUCUGGACGGACGAACAGCUGUCCACAGCUCCUUUUAUCAGUAGGGUGGAGUUUCCUGAACGCAGAAGCCGAUGUAAAAAACCAGCUGUCUUACUCUGAGACAUUUCAUCACUUCUUUGAAAUGAAUGGACGAAUGACGUUUGAACCUUUCUGCUCCUGAGUGGAAACUCAGAGACAGAGCGCCUGCAGGAAUAUGGAAAAGCUCCUCGGAGUGAAGUGUGCACGCACAGGACCUCCAACUCCUAAUUGUCUGUGACAAGGCUGAUGUAGAUGCUCAGCUCCCUCUAGCCUGAGGGCUGCUGAUUCUUCUCUUCUCUCUCCUGGACACUCACUGGGUCAGGAAGAGGAGGUGAGCUUUGCAGAGUGACGGAGCCCCUCCCAGAACAGGUAGUUAAAGACUCUGCCUGGAGAGGAAGCAUCCUGGUUGUACCCAGACCUAUGAACACCUGCUCCGGCCAGGGUGUGUUUCCACGUCAACCGUGUGUACUCAUCCUGGAUUAACCUGGUGAAAAGGGGAAUCAGAACUGUGAUCUCUACUCUCUGAGUUAGGAAAAAAGAAAACAAAACAAAACUGGGACAGAAUAUGGCAUCGAAAACCAUGAAAGA